UACGGGGGGGGCAAGCGUUGUUCGGAAUUACUGGGCGUAAAGCGCGCGUAGGCGGACCUGCAAGUCGGGGGUGAAAGCCCGAGGCUCAACCUCGGAACUGCCUUCGAUACUGCGGGUCUCGAGUCCGGGAGAGGUGAGUGGAAUUCCUAGUGUAGAGGUGAAAUUCGUAGAUAUUCGGAAGAACACCAGUGGCGAAGGCGGCUCACUGGCCCGGUACUGACGCUGAGGUGCGAAAGCGUGGGGAGCAAACAGG
RNAcentral lists this ribosomal RNA (253 nucleotides) under uncultured bacterium. Its description in RNAcentral is "partial 16S ribosomal RNA". It matches the Rfam family "Bacterial small subunit ribosomal RNA", at positions 524 to 776 of the family's 1533-position model. The record is from RNAcentral.